UUCCUAGUAUGUGCUCUGUGUUAAGAUACGCCUACCGUCUCAGAAUGGCGUCCAGUGAUGAUGGUUCUUGCUGUGCGCCUGCGCAGAGCGCUCAGUCUCGUGAACGGCUCACUACCAACUCAUAUUUGCUACGGGUGGUGGUGGCAAGGAAAAGCAAACCACCACUGUGAACAACGACAUCAUCCCUUCCCUGAGAAGGAUUGUAUGCCUUUCAUCAGAUGCUGUGAAUCCCGAACUCACUGAUUCCCAUAAGCAGAGGACCGACUUUAACACGUCCCUAGGGUGGGUUGACAUACGAACCACACAACCAAACAACUGAAGGCAGCUGAAGAAAAUGCCAAUGAAGUGGACGCGGUAAGACACGUGCGUGCCCACAGUCACAUGCAGAAGGACUGGCAUCACCAAAACCAAUAUACCCUAAAGUCAGAUCC
RNAcentral lists this long non-coding RNA (431 nucleotides) under Mus pahari (shrew mouse). Its description in RNAcentral is "lncRNA (MGP_PahariEiJ_G0004508.1)". Lineage: Eukaryota; Metazoa; Chordata; Mammalia; Rodentia; Muridae. The record is from RNAcentral.